GUGAAGAACGUAGCGAAAUGCGAUAAGUAAUGUGAAUUGCAGAAUUCAGUGAAUCAUCGAAUCUUUGAACGCACAUUGCGCCCAUUAGCAUUCUAGUGGGCAUGCCUGUUCGAGCGUCAUUUCAACCCUUAAGCCCUGUUGCUUAGCGUUGGGAGCCUACAGUACUGUAGCUCCCCAAAGUUAGUGGCGGAGUCGGUUUCACACUCUAGACGUAGUAAUUUUUUCUCGUCUGUAGUUGAGCCGGUCCCCUGCCGUAAAACACCCAAUUUAUCAAGGUUGACCUCGGAUCAGGUAGGAAUACCCGCUGAACUUAAGCAUAUCAAUAAGCGGAGGA
This 334-nucleotide unclassified non-coding RNA is filed under the name soil metagenome. Its description in RNAcentral is "partial contains 5.8S ribosomal RNA, internal transcribed spacer 2, and large subunit ribosomal RNA". The stretch from base 2 to 119 matches the Rfam family "5.8S ribosomal RNA", at positions 37 to 154 of the family's 154-position model. The record is from RNAcentral.